GAUGAACGCUGGCGGCGUGCUUAACACAUGCAAGUCGAACGAGAAAUGGAGACGGAAACCUUCGGGCGGAAGGCUUCAUUUCGAGUGGCGGACGGGUGAGUAACGCGUGGGUAACCUGCCUCAUACAGGGGGAUAACAGUUGGAAACGACUGUUAAUACCGCAUCAGACCACAGCACCGCAUGGUGCGGGGGUAAAAACUCCGGUGGUAUGAGAUGGACCCGCGUUCGAUUAGCCAGUUGGCGGGGUAACGGCCCACCAAAGCGACGAUCGAUAGCCGAUCUGAGAGGAUGACCGGCCACAUUGGGACUGGGACACGGCCCAAACUCCUACGGGAGGCAGCAGUGGGGAAUAUUGCACAAUGGGGGAAACCCUGAUGCAGCGACGCCGCGUGAGUGAAGAAGUACUUCGGUAUGUAAAGCUCUAUCAGCAGGGAAGAAAAUGACGGUACCUGAGUAAGAAGCCCCGGCUAACUACGUG
This 478-nucleotide ribosomal RNA is filed under the name uncultured bacterium. RNAcentral's name for it is "partial 16S ribosomal RNA". It matches the Rfam family "Bacterial small subunit ribosomal RNA", at positions 28 to 507 of the family's 1533-position model. The record is from RNAcentral.